Molecule: ribosomal RNA, 666 nt
Filed under: uncultured bacterium
Lineage: Bacteria
Description: bacterial SSU rRNA
Rfam family: Bacterial small subunit ribosomal RNA
Source: RNAcentral
AGAGUUUGAUCCUGGCUCAGGAUGAACGCUGGCGGCAUGCCUAACACAUGCAAGUCAACUGUGCUGAUAGCAAUAUUAGUAUGGUGGCGGACGGGUGAGUAACACGUAAAUAACCUGCCCUAUAGACAGGGAUAACUUUUCGAAAGAAGAGCUAAUACCUGAUGGACUUACGAGAGGAAGAUAUUGUAAGUAAAGAGAAUUCGCUAUAGGAGGGGUUUGCGGGCCAUUAGCUAGUUGGUGAGGGUAAGAGCCCACCAAGGCGACGAUGGAUAGCCGGCCUAAGAGGGUGUACGGCCACAAGGGAACUGAGAGACGGUCCUUACUCCUACGGGAGGCAGCAGUGGGGAAUCUUGCGCAAUGGGCGGAAGCCUGACGCAGCAAUGCCGCGUGAAUGAAGAAGGCCUUCGGGUCGUAAAGUUCUUUUAGUAGGGAAGAAAAAAAUGACGGUACCUACAGAAAAAGCCACGGCUAAUCACGUGCCAGCAGCCGCGGUAAUACGUGAGUGGCAAGCGUUAUCCGGAAUUACUGGGCGUAAAGGGCGUGUAGGUGGUUGCAUAAGUCAUAGGUAAAAACACUAAGCUUAACUUAGAUGGAGCCUAUGAAACUGUAUGACUAGAGUAUAGGAUAGGAAGAUGGAAUUAUUACUGUAGCGGUGAAAUGCGUAGA